UAAUAAGUGUUUUAUGGCACUUUUUAAAUCCAUAUCCACCUUGUGUGCAAUGUCAGUCGAUCUUCUUCAUGGAGAUCGACCAAACAUCAACCCUUAUCUUUUAACUCUUUGUCUGAAAAAUAUUAUGAAUAAACUAAUUCAAAAUA
This 146-nucleotide unclassified non-coding RNA is filed under the name soil metagenome. RNAcentral's name for it is "partial internal transcribed spacer 1". The record is from RNAcentral.